Molecule: ribosomal RNA, 332 nt
Filed under: uncultured soil bacterium
Lineage: Bacteria
Description: bacterial SSU rRNA
Rfam family: Bacterial small subunit ribosomal RNA
Source: RNAcentral
AGAUUGAACGCUGGCGGCAUGCCUAACACAUGCAAGUCGAACGGGAGUAGCAAUACUCUAGUGGCGGACGGUGAGGAAUACGUAGGAAUUUGCCCUUAAGUGGGGGAUAACCCGGGAAACCCGGAUUAAUACCGCAUGACCUCGAAGAGCAAAGUGGGGAUCGCAAGACCUCACGCUUUGGAGAAGCCUACGUCGGAUUAGCUAGUUGGUGAGGUAAUGGCUCACCAAGGUCGACGAUCCGUAAAAAAACCUGGUCUCGAGACGGAUGAUCAGUCGACACCGGAACCGUUGAGUACACGGUCCGGACGUCCUACGGAGGUCAGCAGUGGGAA